Molecule: transfer RNA, 87 nt
Filed under: Klebsiella pneumoniae
Lineage: Bacteria; Pseudomonadati; Pseudomonadota; Gammaproteobacteria; Enterobacterales; Enterobacteriaceae
Description: tRNA-Leu
Rfam family: tRNA
About the family: Transfer RNA (tRNA) molecules are approximately 80 nucleotides in length. Their secondary structure includes four short double-helical elements and three loops (D, anti-codon, and T loops). Further hydrogen bonds mediate the characteristic L-shaped molecular structure. tRNAs have two regions of fundamental functional importance: the anti-codon, which is responsible for specific mRNA codon recognition, and the 3' end, to which the tRNAs corresponding amino acid is attached (by aminoacyl-tRNA synthetases). tRNAs cope with the degeneracy of the genetic code in two manners: having more than one tRNA (with a specific anti-codon) for a particular amino acid; and 'wobble' base-pairing, i.e. permitting non-standard base-pairing at the 3rd anti-codon position.
Source: RNAcentral
GCGAAGGUGGCGGAAUUGGUAGUCGCGCUAGCUUCAGGUGUUUGGGUCCUUACGGACGUGGGGGUUCAAGUCCCCCCCCUCGCACCA